RNAcentral lists this ribosomal RNA (506 nucleotides) under uncultured bacterium. RNAcentral describes it as "partial 16S ribosomal RNA". It matches the Rfam family "Bacterial small subunit ribosomal RNA", at positions 30 to 523 of the family's 1533-position model. The record is from RNAcentral.
AUUGAACGCUGGCGGCAGGCCUAACACGUGCAAGUCGAGCGGCAGCGGAAAGUAGCUUGCUACUUUGCCGGCGAGCGGCGGACGGGUGAGUAAUGUCUGGGAAACUGCCUGAUGGAGGGGGAUAACUACUGGAAACGGUAGCUAAUACCGCAUAACGUCGCAAGACCAAAGAGGGGGACCUUCGGGCCUCUUGCCAUCAGAUGUGCCCAGAUGGGAUUAGCUAGUAGGUGGGGUAAUGGCUCACCUAGGCGACGAUCCCUAGCUGGUCUGAGAGGAUGACCAGCCACACUGGAACUGAGACACGGUCCAGACUCCUACGGGAGGCAGCAGUGGGGAAUAUUGCACAAUGGGCGCAAGCCUGAUGCAGCCAUGCCGCGUGUAGGAAGAAGGCCUUCGGGUUGUAAAGUACUUUCAGCGGGGAGGAAGGUGUUGAGAUUAAUAACCUCAGCAAUUGACGUUACCCGCAGAAGAAGCACCGGCUAACUCCGUGCCAGCCGCCGCAGUAA